Zalophus californianus (California sea lion) is the source of this 1019-nucleotide long non-coding RNA. RefSeq lists it as uncharacterized. The record is from RefSeq and is a predicted model, not a curated record. Lineage: Eukaryota; Metazoa; Chordata; Mammalia; Carnivora; Otariidae. The transcript has 2 exons.
UGGAUGGAUGGAUGGGUGGAUGGAUGGGUGGGUGGAUGGACAGAUGGACAGGCGAAUGGAUGGAUGGAUGAUUGGAUGUGUCAGCAUAUGACAAGCAGGUCCAAAUCCCAUUUAACAUAGACGGUCUGUGGCCUGGGAUCCUGAAAACAGCCUAUGCUGGUGGCCUUCACCUGGGCCUCCCUCAUGCUCCUUGUAGCUUAUCAGCCACAUUCCCUGGGAGGGCAACAUGCCCAUCCAGCCCUUGGCACACUGAACCCCAGAUGUAGAUUUAUGUCUCAACCUGGAGCACCCUGAGGGUGGCAUGUCUGGUCCUCUCUGACCCCAGCCAGGGUCCAGACCAAGGCUGAGCCAAAAGCAAGGGCUUGGUGAGGGCUUGGUGAGCACGCCCACAGGGCUGGGACCCAGGAGGCCUUGGGCUUGGGCUCUAUUUAGAGCAGCAAAGCCAAUGCCCACCCUCUCACCAUGCCAGGCCUCUCUCCCUAAGGUCCUGCCAGGACUCCUUUAGCCAUUGGGGUCCUCUAGGGACCUGUCACCUCACCCUCCCUGAGGCAGCCUCAGACCUGAGAGAAGACACCCCUGUUGCCCCUGUCCUGACCCUGAGGGUUCAUGGGAGGGGAAGGCAUUGGUUCAGCCCCCACCCACACAGGCAUGGGUCUGGCAGACCCACAGUGUUUUGCAGAUUGCCGGGAGCCACUUCCCUGGCUGGUGCUGGACCUGCCACAGGAGGACCUGGAGGAAGAUGCCCCAGGAGCCAGCCUGUGGCCCACCACCGUCACCCUGCUCACCCUCUUCCUACUGAGCCUCUUCUACAGCACAGCACUGACUGUGACAAGCGUGCGGGGCCCAGCUGACAGCAGAGAGGGCCCCCAGUACUGAGCAGAGGCCAGCCAGGCACAGGGAGGAAUCUGGAGGAGCCUCCUGGAACCCCAGCUGGAUGCCAGAGCUCAGCCCUGCUCAGAAGCUGCGACUUACCCCACACGCAGGCCUUGCUGGUGCAAUAAACUGAUCCCAAAGACAAA